UGAACAAUUAUUCAAGGAAAGUAAAAUCUAAGUAAAGGCAAAUGCUCCAAUCUUUAGGAAAAGCAAAACAAGCAUAAUAUAUUUGGCACAUUUGUAAGACUAAUAUGAACAUUCCUUUGGAAGAGAUAAAAUCCGUAAUUAAUUACAAGAAAAGUUUGAAGUGAACAUUUUAACCCUUCUAUAUUGCUCAUCAUAGGGAUGGUGUCAAUGGGGAGGCUAGUGGUAGUACCCGGCACUAUUUGACCCAACUAUUCGGUGUAGGGCAUAUUAGGGACGGCACAAGAGGGAGGCUAAUGGUAGUACCUCGUGCCCCUUCCAACUCCACCGGAUAGGGAGCAAAUAGAAUAUAGAGCAUAGAAAAGUAAAACCGAAAAAUAAAUGAAGAUAAUCAAAAUGCUCAUUGAAUGGUUAAAGAAAGAAAUUAAAAAUUUGGGGAAUGAAUGAUAAAUAAAUGAAAAUAUAUAAGAAGGUUGUAAAAAUCAAAUGAAGUUUCAAUCACUUGAAAACACACCUUAAGGAUAAAAUCAGUGCUAAAUUGUAUUUAAAUAAAGGAAAUUUUAUUUGAAAAGAAUUGAUUUUGAUCCAUGACAUGCUUGUUAUGUUUUGCAUACUUUGAAUUAUAUGUUUUCAAUAUUCAGUUUGAAAUGCUCCAUGCUUGAAUAAUUUGAUUGAAACAUGUUUCUACCAAUAGCAAAUUUAUUUUUCUUUUUAUGACACUCAUAAAUUGAAAUAGGCUUUAACUUUGUACACAAGUUUUGACUUCGAAAUAACUUGUGUUCUAAAGCCUAAUGAAAACUAUUUUCACUUGCAUUCUAUGCUCAUCAAUGAUAUUUUGGAUUUCUCUUGUACUCUUUUGAUCAAUUUUUUUUUAUUAAAUCGGUUCCAAUGCUUGAAUAUUUAAAAAAUUACAUAAGAAUUUUUCUAAAAAUAUUUUUGAAAGAAAUUUUAGAUUUGUCGUUCAUGAUCAUCUUUAAAAUCUGAAAGUUGAAUAUAUUUACAAAAAGAAGAAGAAAAGGAUACUUCUAUUUUAAUGAAUAUCUUCUAAAAAAUAAAAGAAAAGGAUAAUCUAAAUUUGCAAAUUAGGCAGAAUGAAUCGAUUAUAAUUUAUCUUUUAACUUGCCUAACAUUAGUACAUAAUGUCCUCCAAUUUGUACCAAAAUUCAAUAUGAAUUACAAAGAUUCUGGAUGUGCUCUAAUGUUUUUGAAAUAUGUGUUUUCAAUCUUAAUAAUUUAAGAUGAGCUACAAUGUAGAAGAUGCAUAUCUCAAAUUAUAAUCCUGAAAGCUUCCUUGAAAAUUUUUAUGAAAUUCAGAAUCUGAUUUUGUAUAAAAGCUUAAACUUAAUUUAAAAAUGCUUCUAUCGUUGCAUUUUUGUAACUUUCAUUAUAUGCUUCAACGAUUGCAUCAUUUUGGGGAAUAACUCAAUAUGAUUCCUAGAUGAAAACUACGGUUUAAGAAAAAUAGAAUUAAUUUUGAUGCCUUGAUUGUUUGCUCCGAUACGCAUAUGAAACAUAUCAUUUUCUAUCUUAUAAGUUUAUUAAAAUUGGUCUAAAUGAUGUAUUUUUCAAUAAUCUUGAUUGCGAACAAAUAUUUCUA
Molecule: long non-coding RNA, 1594 nt
Filed under: Phoenix dactylifera (date palm)
Lineage: Eukaryota; Viridiplantae; Streptophyta; Magnoliopsida; Arecales; Arecaceae
Description: long non-coding RNA (PDAC_LNC010932)
Source: RNAcentral